RNAcentral lists this ribosomal RNA (507 nucleotides) under uncultured Glomeromycotina. RNAcentral describes it as "SSU rRNA". It matches the Rfam family "Eukaryotic small subunit ribosomal RNA", at positions 569 to 1077 of the family's 1831-position model. Lineage: Eukaryota; Fungi; Glomeromycota. The record is from RNAcentral.
AGCAGCCGCGGUAAUUCCAGCUCCAAUAGCGUAUAUUAAAGUUGUUGCAGUUAAAAAGCUCGUAGUUGAAUUUUGGGUCUGGCCGGGCGGUCCGCCCUCCGGGUGAGCACUGUUCCGACGCCGGGCCUAUCCUUCUGGAGAGUCGGCAUGUCCUUUAUUGGGUGUGCCGGGGAACCAGGACCAUUACCUUGAAAAAAUUAGAGUGUUCAAAGCAGGCGUAUGCUCGGAUACAUUAGCAUGGAAUAAUGAAAUAGGACGCGUGGUGCUAUUUUGUUGGUUUCUAGAACCGCCGUAAUGAUCAAUAGGGAUAGUUGGGGGCAUUAGUAUUCAAUUGUCAGAGGUGAAAUUCUUGGAUUUAUUGAAGACUAACUUCUGCGAAAGCAUUUGCCAAGGAGGUUUUCAUUAAUCAAGAACGAAAGUUAGAGGAUCGAAGACGAUCAGAUACCGUCGUAGUCUUAACCAUAAACUAUGCCGACUAGGAAUCGGGCGAUGUUAUUCUCAUGACUC